This 465-nucleotide ribosomal RNA is filed under the name Vreelandella stevensii. RNAcentral describes it as "partial 16S ribosomal RNA". It matches the Rfam family "Bacterial small subunit ribosomal RNA", at positions 338 to 795 of the family's 1533-position model. The record is from RNAcentral. Lineage: Bacteria; Pseudomonadati; Pseudomonadota; Gammaproteobacteria; Oceanospirillales; Halomonadaceae.
CCUACGGGUGGCAGCAGUGGGGAAUAUUGGACAAUGGGGGCAACCCUGAUCCAGCCAUGCCGCGUGUGUGAAGAAGGCCCUCGGGUUGUAAAGCACUUUCAGUGAGGAAGAACGCCUGGUGGUUAAUACCCAUCAGGAAAGACAUCACUCACAGAAGAAGCACCGGCUAACUCCGUGCCAGCAGCCGCGGUAAUACGGAGGGUGCGAGCGUUAAUCGGAAUUACUGGGCGUAAAGCGCGCGUAGGUGGCUUGAUAAGCCGGUUGUGAAAGCCCCGGGCUCAACCUGGGAACGGCAUCCGGAACUGUGAAGCUAGAGUGCAGGAGAGGAAGGUAGAAUUCCCGGUGUAGCGGUGAAAUGCGUAGAGAUCGGGAGGAAUACCAGUGGCGAAGGCGGCCUUCUGGACUGACACUGACACUGAGGUGCGAAAGCGUGGGUAGCAAACAGGAUUAGAUACCCUAGUAGUC